CACACACACACACACACACACACCAUGUCAAAACACAACUGGCUCCAACGCAUUAAGAAUGAAAGAAAUUCCACAGAUGAACCUUUAGCAAGGCACACCUGUUAAUUGAAAUGCAUUCCAGGUGACUACCUCAUGAAGCUGGUUGAGAGAAUGCCAAGCGUGAGUAAAGCAAAUCAAGGCAAAGGGUGUCUAUUUGAAGAAUCUCAAAUAUAUAAUAUAUUUUGAUUUGCUUAACACUUUUUUGGUUACUACAUGAUUCCAUAUGUGUUUUUUCGUAGUUUUGGUGUCUUCACUAUUAUUCUACUAUGUAGAACACAGUAAAAAUAAAGAAAAAACAUGGAAUGAGAAGGUGUUCUAAAACCUUUGACCGGUAUUGUAUUUCCUCCACCAUUAUUAUGAAAAGGGGCCUCUUGCACCCAAAACACAGUUUUCUGGGGACUUGUGGGCAGAGUGCUGAUGAUGUCGCUCACUGCAUGCACUUUCGGUAGCCUGAUUGUGUCCAGACUGAGGAGAAAUCUGCACAUAAUGCAUCCCUGACUCCCUCCUGAAGUGGUCAGCCAGAUCUGAACACAACCAAGCCACAAUGGGACUUUUGUGCAUCUAGACCAGUCUUUUCAAUGCGAUCUUCCUAUUCUGAUAGCAGAAGUCACAUGUAAGUGUCAAGUGUAGACAUGGCCAAAGACAACAUAAUCCACUUGAAGAAUAAAUAGCAUCAAAGGAAGAACAGACAGUUCAGUGUUAGGGAGGUGGGGCCUAGGUGAAAGACAUGUACAUUCAGACGGGACACUGACAGCUCCCUGAAUGACAGCGGCAGAUUGGAAUGAUUGACACACUAUGUACCUCCUUAUUUGUGAUAAUGGCCCAGGUCUUCCAGGUCAGGUCCAGACCCAGCUAAUCGAUCACUGUCUUGUGCCUAUCUCUCUUUAAGCCAUGACCUGUGCCUCCCCUGCCCACCCAUCUUCAGACACCGACCACUCCCAGACAUCGACCCAUGGCGCUGGGCUGAACACGCUGGAAUGAGAUCUCUCCUACAGACACACACGCACAUGUACAAAUGCACAGGCACACACCGUUACCUCAGCAACACCCAAAAGCUGCCUCAAAUACCCACAAAUCAAUAUCCUCCUGCCUCCCAUGAACCUCCACGAGCGCUCCGGAACAAUCAUAAGGCAAGGGUGACAUGCCUUCAACGUCCCCCAGAAAACAAGCAGCUCGUCAGCCUGCGAACCCCAUGGGCUGCCUGUCUACCUGUCAGCGCCCAGUCCGUCUGUCCAACCACGUCAUUCCUUCAAUCUAUCAGCGUCUCCUCAAAUUUACUCCUCUGUCUCAACCACUAGCUCCCUCAACCCCGAUCCAAAGUAGUCACAUUUCCCAACUCAGACUUAAUGAGGUCAUAUUGUGGAAAAUAAACAAACCGGUUGAGGUUCUUGUUUUUUUGUUCAGAUGUGAAACAGCCACUUCGUGUUUUAGCAGCUCCAGCAGUCACAGUCUUUAACGAUUGCACUGUACACACUACAGACAUGAAUAUUCCUCUGCUGGAGCUGAUCACUUCCCUGUUCCCUCCCUGUGUCCAGCCAAUCACGCUGCUGAGUGUUCUAUCUGAGAGAAUAAAUGCCUCCCUCCCUCCCUCCUUCUCUCCCUGUCUGAGGUGAUGUCUGUGGGCUUCCCACCAUCAGAGAGGCAGGUGCCACAUGUCAGACAGACACCGAUAGUGAAUAAAUAUUUCAGAGCUUUCUAGAUAGAUAGCGCCUCGCUGCAGAUGAAGACCAGGUGUAAAACAACAACAACAGAGGGAGAGAGAGAAAGAGAGACGAUUUAAAACCGAUACUUUAGAUCUGCAAUCACUCCAAUGGGAGAACAGAACUCCUUUUAAAAGCCCUUUUAAUCAAUAGAAAUCUUACUGUCCUGUUCAAAUUAAUUCAAUUCAGCACUGCAAUUUGCACUGGGAGACUGCCAUGGCUUGUGUGUGUGUAUGCAUGUGCAUGGGUGUGUGCAUAUCCGUGUGCAUGCGUUUCUGUGUGUGUGUGUGUGUGAUUAGCCCUUGUUACAGGUCUGCUGAGGGAGGUAGUAAUGAGAGACUAGAGUGUGGUCAAUGUGCACUUCUGUCAACAAGACCAUGCUGGCCUACAUGUGUCAGAGGUCAGGGGCUGUGUUAAAAAAGAGUGUUGUGGCUGAGUGGUGUGACUGAGAUAGAGAUGGACCCAGCUGUCUGAACCCAGGGUAACAUGCUGCUCCUUAUGAUGGGCUGUGGAGAGAGGCAGAGGUGAUUACUGCAACCUAUCUAUACAGAACAUACAGCCAGGCAUACAGCUGGUUGGUUGAAAUUACAUCAUGUUAUCUGCUUGAAAUGACGUCAUGUUAUCUGGUUGAAAUGACAUUGUGUUAUCUGGAUGGAAUGAAGUCAGGUUAUCUGGAUGGAAUGAAGUCAGGUUAUCUGGAUGGAAUGAAGUCAUGUUAUCUGGAUGAAAUGAAGUCAUGUUAUCUGGAUGGAAUGACAUUGUGUUAUCUGGAUGGAAUGAAGUCAGGUUAUCUGGAUGGAAUGAAGUCAGGUUAUCUGGAUGGAAUGACAUUGUGUUAUCUGGAUGGAAUGAAGUCAUGUUAUCUGGUUGGAAUGAAGUCAGGUUAUCUGGAUGGAAUGACAUUGUGUUAUCU
Oncorhynchus tshawytscha (Chinook salmon) is the source of this 2652-nucleotide long non-coding RNA. Lineage: Eukaryota; Metazoa; Chordata; Actinopteri; Salmoniformes; Salmonidae. The record is from Ensembl.